UACGGAGGAUCCGAGCGUUAUCCGGAUUUAUUGGGUUUAAAGGGUGCGUAGGCGGUUUGAUAAGUUAGAGGUGAAAUGUCGGGGCUCAACCCCGAAACUGCCUCUAAUACUGUUGGACUAGAGAAUAGUUGCGGUAGGCGGAAUGUAUGGUGUAGCGGUGAAAUGCUUAGAGAUCAUACAGAACACCGAUUGCGAAGGCAGCUCACCAAACUAUAUCUGACGUUGAGGCACGAAAGCGUGGGUAGCAAACAGG
This 253-nucleotide ribosomal RNA is filed under the name uncultured bacterium. RNAcentral describes it as "partial 16S ribosomal RNA". It matches the Rfam family "Bacterial small subunit ribosomal RNA", at positions 524 to 776 of the family's 1533-position model. The record is from RNAcentral.